This 254-nucleotide ribosomal RNA is filed under the name uncultured bacterium. RNAcentral's name for it is "partial 16S ribosomal RNA". It matches the Rfam family "Bacterial small subunit ribosomal RNA", at positions 524 to 776 of the family's 1533-position model. The record is from RNAcentral.
GACGAACCGUGCGAACGUUAUUCGGAAUCACUGGGCUUAAAGCGCGUGUAGGCGGGGCGGCACGUCGGUCGCUGAAAUCCCCCGGCUUAACCGGGGAACGGGCGCCGAUACGACCGCCCUGGAGGGACGUAGGGGGGCUGGAACUUCCGGUGGAGCGGUGAAAUGCGUUGAGAUCGGAAGGAACGCCCGUGGCGAAAGCGAGCCCCUGGACGUCUACUGACGGCUGAGACGCGAAAGCCAGGGGAGCGAACGGG